UGCCAGCCGCCGCGGUAAUACGAAGGGACCUAGCGUAGUUCGGAAUUACUGGGCUUAAAGAGCUCGUAGGUGGUUAAAAAAGUUGAUGGUGAAAUCCCAAGGCUCAACCUUGGAACUGCCAUUGAUACUGAAUUUCUUGAAUAUGAUUGAAGUGGGCGGAAUAUGUCAUGUAGCGGUGAAAUGCUUAGAUAUGACAUAGAACACCGAUAGCGAAGGCAGCUCACUAAGUCAUCAUUGACGCUGAGGGACGAAAGCGUGGGGAGCGAACAGGAUUAGAUA
This 279-nucleotide ribosomal RNA is filed under the name uncultured bacterium. Its description in RNAcentral is "partial 16S ribosomal RNA". It matches the Rfam family "Bacterial small subunit ribosomal RNA", at positions 506 to 784 of the family's 1533-position model. The record is from RNAcentral.